This 456-nucleotide ribosomal RNA is filed under the name uncultured bacterium. RNAcentral's name for it is "bacterial SSU rRNA". It matches the Rfam family "Bacterial small subunit ribosomal RNA", at positions 340 to 786 of the family's 1533-position model. The record is from RNAcentral.
UACGGGAGGCAGCAGGGGGGAAUAUUGCACAAUGGGCGAAAGCCUGAUGCAGCUAUGCCGCGUGUAUGAAGAAGGCCUUAGGGUUGUAAAGUACUUUCAUCGGGGAGGAAAAAACAAAACUAAUAAUUUUAUUUCUUGACGUUACCCGAAAAAGAAGCACCGGCUAACUCCGUGCCAGCAGCCGCGGUAAUACGGAGGGUGCUAGCGUUAAUCAGAAUUACUGGGCGUAAAGAGCACGUAGGUGGUUUUUUUAAAGUCAGAUGUGAAAUCCCUGGGCUUAACCUGGAACUGCAUUUUGAAACUGAAAUACUAGAGUAUCGUAGAGGGAGGUAGAAUUCUAGGUGUAGCGGUGAAAUGCGUAGAUAUCUGGAGGAAUACCUGUGGCGAAAGCGGCCUCCUAAACGAAUACUGACACUGAGGUGCGAAAGCGUGGGGAGCAAACAGGGAUUAGAUACC